AGGCAGCAGUGGGAAUAUUGGACAAUGGGCGCAAAGCCUGAUCCAGCCAUGCCGCGUGAGUGAUGAAGGCCCUAGGGUUGUAAAAGCUCUUUCAGCGAGGAGGAUAAUGACGUUACUCGCAGAAGAAGCCCCGGCUAACUUCGUGCCAGCAGCCGCGGUAAUACGAAGGGGGCUAGCGUUGUUCGGAAUCACUGGGCGUAAAAGCGCACGUAGGCGGACUUUUUAAAGUCAGGGUGAAAAUCCCGGGCUCAAACCCCGGAAACUGCCUUUGAUACUGGAAAGUCUUGAGUCCGAGAGAGGUGAGUGGAACUCCGAGUGUAGAGGUGAAAUUCGUAGAUAUUCGGAAGAACACCAGUGGCGAAGGCGGCUCACUGGCUCGGUACUGACGCUGAGGUGCGAAAGUGUGGGGAGCAAACAGGAUUAGAUACCCUGGUAG
This 436-nucleotide ribosomal RNA is filed under the name uncultured bacterium. RNAcentral's name for it is "bacterial SSU rRNA". It matches the Rfam family "Bacterial small subunit ribosomal RNA", at positions 346 to 793 of the family's 1533-position model. The record is from RNAcentral.